AGUGAACGCUGGCGGUAGGCCUAACACAUGCAAGUCGAACGGCAGCACAGUAAGAGCUUGCUCUUACGGGUGGCGAGUGGCGGACGGGUGAGGAAUACAUCGGAAUCUACUUUUUCGUGGGGGAUAACGUAGGGAAACUUACGCUAAUACCGCAUACGACCUACGGGUGAAAGCAGGGGAUCUUCGGACCUUGCGCGAUUGAAUGAGCCGAUGUCGGAUUAGCUAGUUGGCGGGGUAAAGGCCCACCAAGGCGACGAUCCGUAGCUGGACUGAGAGGAUGAUCAGCCACACUGGAACUGAGACACGGUCCAGACUCCUACGGGAGGCAGCAGUGGGGAAUAUUGGACAAUGGGCGCAAGCCUGAUCCAGCCAUACCGCGUGGGUGAAGAAGGCCUUCGGGUUGUAAAGCCCUUUUGUUGGGAAAGAAAAGCAGCAGGUUAAUACCCCGCUGUUCCGACGGUACCCAAAGAAUAAGCACCGGCUAACUUCGUG
Molecule: ribosomal RNA, 492 nt
Filed under: uncultured bacterium
Lineage: Bacteria
Description: partial 16S ribosomal RNA
Rfam family: Bacterial small subunit ribosomal RNA
Source: RNAcentral